This is a long non-coding RNA of Quercus robur (English oak), 398 nucleotides long. RefSeq lists it as uncharacterized. The transcript has 3 exons. The record is from RefSeq and is a predicted model, not a curated record. Lineage: Eukaryota; Viridiplantae; Streptophyta; Magnoliopsida; Fagales; Fagaceae.
GAGAAAUCUACCCUCAACUACAUCAAGCGACAAUCCAACCCUUUGCCAUCGUCAAACUCAUUCCCUCCACCGAUGAAAACAAAUACAUAUAAGACGGCCCUAAAAUACAAAUACAGAGGAAACAACAAGCUGAAAACAAAAAGAACAAGAAGCUGAAAAUAGUUCAGAAGUACGGACCAAUAGGUAUGCGCAGAGAAAUUCAUAGCAACAAGUAUGCAAAUUGCAGAAAAUACAGACCAACAGGUUGUUGGUGGUUGCUUUUUCAUCAUGAUCAGAAGGUGAAGAUAGAAAUUACCCUUAUCAAUACCUAUUGUGUCUUCCUCAUUAUCACAAGAUAUAGAUAGACUUCUAUUUUUUUUCCAAACCUCAUCUUGCUUGACAAACCUUUUAUUUAUCCA